This 441-nucleotide ribosomal RNA is filed under the name uncultured bacterium. Its description in RNAcentral is "partial 16S ribosomal RNA". It matches the Rfam family "Bacterial small subunit ribosomal RNA", at positions 338 to 795 of the family's 1533-position model. The record is from RNAcentral.
CCUACGGGAGGCAGCAGUCGGGAAUAUUGCGCAAUGGAGGAAACUCUGACGCAGUAACGCCGCGUGCAGGAAGAAGGUUUUCGGAUUGUAAACUGCUUUAGACAGGGAAGAAUAAAGUCAGUACCUGUAGAAUAUGCUCCCGGUAACUACGUGACAGCACCCGCGGUAAUACGUAGGGAGCACGCGUUAUCCGGAUUAUUUGGGUGUAAAGGGUGCGUAGACGGAGAAGUACGUAAGUGGUGAAAUCCCCCGGCUUAACUGAGGAACUGCAACUAAAACUACUAGCCUUGAGUACUGGAGAGGUAAGUGGAAUUCCUAGUGUAGCGGUGAAAUGCGUAGAUAUUAGGAGGAACACCAGUGGCGAAGGCGACUUUCUGGACAGUAACUGACGUUGAGGCACGAAAGUGUGGGGAGCAAACAGGAUUAGAUACCCGUGUAGUC